UACGGAGGGGGCUAGCGUUGUUCGGAAUUACUGGGCGUAAAGCGCACGUAGGCGGACCAGAAAGUUGGGGGUGAAAUCCCGGGGCUCAACCCCGGAACUGCCUUCAAAACUGCUGGUCUUGAGGUCGAGAGAGGUGAGUGGAAUUCCGAGUGUAGAGGUGAAAUUCGUAGAUAUUCGGAGGAACACCAGUGGCGAAGGCGGCUCACUGGCUCGAUACUGACGCUGAGGUGCGAAAGCGUGGGGAGCAAAC
This 250-nucleotide ribosomal RNA is filed under the name uncultured bacterium. RNAcentral describes it as "partial 16S ribosomal RNA". It matches the Rfam family "Bacterial small subunit ribosomal RNA", at positions 524 to 773 of the family's 1533-position model. The record is from RNAcentral.